Molecule: RNA transcript, 3205 nt
Organism: Glycine soja
Lineage: Eukaryota; Viridiplantae; Streptophyta; Magnoliopsida; Fabales; Fabaceae
Gene name: PHD finger protein EHD3-like
Exons: 7
Source: RefSeq, a predicted model, not a curated record
AAAGUAAACAACACGCGAGUUCUAGCUGGCACACACAGUCAGCGUGCGAAGGAAACUGCGAAGACGCGUCGUCCGUUAUCGGUUUCAAAAUUACUCAGAUGUCAGAUACAUAAAUAUAUACAUCUUUUUUCUUGUUCUUUUGAUUAACACACAUAUAAAAAGAGUAUUUGCUGCACUUCAACUCAGAUUUCCACUACCGCAUCCUCCUCCUUCAACUUGCAAUUUUUCGUCAUCAUUUCUUUGGGGGCAACUGAGUGGAGUGUUUUGACUUCUGAUAGGUUUUUUAGGGUUUCGCUUUAGGAGGCAUUUGGGUAGUCAAAUCUUGUCAAAAUUUUGGAUCUUUGAAGGUUGGUCGGUGGAAAUUGUAAAACCCUAUUUUUGUUCUUCUGCACCGCUUAUUGUUGUUGUUAUCUAUAUUUUCUUUUUUCUUUAUGGGGACUGAGGAUGGAACAAGCGAUGCUGAUAAAACGGAAUUUGAUGAACGAGUUCAGUGUUUGAAAGGUGCCGCAAUGGAUGGUGGGGUGGCAAUUGUGGAUGGGAAUUGUGUUUCUGAAGAGGGCCAGCUCUUGAAAAGUGAAGCCAUGAAUGUUGGGGUUGCAAUUGCUGAUGAAAAUGGUGUUGCUGAAGAGGGUAGGAUCUGGAAAAGUGAAACCUUUUGUAAUCGGGUGGCAGUUGCAGAUAAAGGGGACUCUGGUGGAGUUGAAUGUUUGCAAACAUAUAAGAGGCGUAAGAAGUCAAGUUCAAAAGGAGAAGUUCAGGAACAAUGCAGAAAAAACGUGGAAACUUCAACUCACAUAGCAGAUCAGGAUGUGACGAAACCAUGUGAUGUAGCCUUAUGCAAUACUUCAGAUGAUUGCUCCCAUGGACAGUGGGGAAAUAUUGUGCUAAAGCAUUUAUAUCAGUCAUUAGGUGAUGGCAAUGGCGGCAUAGAGGGGUGCAUAAGGGAAGCACUUAUUCAUUAUCCUAAACAUAAUCAUACCACUACAGUUAUGGAAACUUUUAAAAUUGACAAAGAUGGACAAGAAUGCUCUUUGCAAUUUGAGCCACUUUCUCAUAGAACAGAGAAGGAAGCUAAUGGGCAUGCAGAUGUCAUGUGUAAUGGAGGUUCUAGUGAAUCACCUGACCAUGGUGUGACUGAGAUGUGUCAGCGUGUGCUCUGUAAUGUUUUAACCUCAGAAAAAUUCAGUUCAUUAUGUAAGGCUUUACUUGAAAAUUUCCAGGGAAUGAAGCCUGAAAGUGUACUUGACUUUACCGUCAUGAAUUCAAGGAUGAAGGAGCAAGCUUAUGAACAAUCACCAACACUCUUCUUGUCAGAUAUUCAACAGGUUUGGAGAAAGCUUCAAGACGCUGGUAAUGAGAUUGUUGCUCUUGCCAAGAGCCUCUCUAACAUGUCAAGAACUUCCUACUCUGAGCUGGUGGGAAUUCCAGCACAGAGCACAUUUCAAGAUGAGAAGCAAGUGUACUCCAACCAGGAAUUUGACUGUUGCAUGAAACCAGAACAGACACAAGCAUGUGCUAUGUACAAAAUUUGCAGUUGCAAGUGUUGUGGAGAGAAGGCAGAUGGCACAGACUGUUUGGUUUGUGAUUCAUGUGAAGAGAUAUACCAUGUGUCCUGUAUUGAGCCUGCAGUGAAAGAAAUAAUACCUCACAAAAGCUGGUAUUGUGCCAAUUGUACUGCUAAUGUGAUUGAAUCUCUCCAUGAGAAUUGUGUGCUAUGUGAAAGGUUAAAUGAUGCAAAGACCCUGGAUGAUGUAAUUGGUGAUGGAAGCUUUCCUACAAUUGAGGAAACACAAAAUGAAUUUGAAGAGAAUUCAAAUUGCACCUCUGAUGGAAUUCAAGUUUCCAUAGGUGAGGAAAAAACACCCAAUUGCAAGAUAUGUGAAAAUGAAGUGGAUGGUGGAAAAAUAAAAAUAUGUGGCCAUCGGUUUUGCUCCAAUAAAUACUACCAUGUAAGGUGUUUAACAAUUAAUCAGUUGAAGUCAUAUGGUCAUUGUUGGUACUGCCCUUCUUGUUUAUGCCGGGUUUGCUUAACUGAUCAAGAUGAUGAUCGGAUUGUUCUGUGUGAUGGCUGUGAUCAUGCAUAUCACAUCUAUUGCAUGAAACCUCCGCGGACUUCUAUUCCAAGAGGGAACUGGUUCUGCAGAAAAUGUGAUGCUGGAAUACAAGCAAUCCACCAGGCUAAAAAGGCAUAUGAGUUUAACAAGCCAAGAAGAAAUGGUGAAGAUGCUGCAAAGCCAAAUGCCAAUCUUGAAAAGAAACACAACAAUAAACGUGCACGGGAAUUGGAAAGUGGUGGAGCAAUGGACAUGCUUUUAACUGCAGCCAAUACUCUGAAUUUUGAAGAGAAAGAGGCGGCAAGCCACAUCAAGUUACAGAGAACAUGAAUUUUGUGGUGGGCUUCGUUAACCUUCCAGUUAUUGUUAGUAGUGACUUUAACUUCAUAUUUGUUGACUGUUAAUACACAGUAUUUUGCAUUUGCUGCAUUUUUUGAAUGACUGAUAUUUUGGUAGGCUGUAAAACUUUCAUAGAUUUUCCGACAUUUUGAUACAUCACAUGGAAAGACAUGACUAGAGAGGCUAAAGAGCAAAAGGCAUAAUCUGAAGCUGCUCUAAGUGCCAUCUGUCAGAGUAAGCAGAUGUGGGCUUUGUUUUCUUCAGAUCUGAGAUUUUCCCCUUCAAAUCUGGGUUUUGCGUAAGUAUGUGUUUUAAGCUCUGCUCCUCAAAGGUGUUGUGCCUCAACAAAUGCGGCAGAAACAGUAAGAAAAUUCAUAGAUAUGAGAUUUUGCGACAGAGAGGUGUUGGACAUUCAUAGAUCCGAGUUUUUUCUUCUUCUUCCAGAUUUGGGUGUUUUGGAAACCUUUUAUGAUGGAUAAGUUGCGUGUAUAUGUUCAUUGAUGCUAUUGCUAUUAGAGGUUGUUAUUCGCUGGAAUUUCUUUACUGUUGCAGUGGAAUUUUUUUUUCUUCCCUAGUUUAAGCUGAUUAUGGAUGUCGUGUUUUAAUUGAAAUGGAGAUAAUAGAAAUUUGUAAUCGGGUGGAAAAGUUCCCCUUGUUCAUUGAUUGGCGUUUAUACAUGUCUUUAUAGCAUUGUUAAUUUCUGCACUUUCUUGAUUUGUAUAGUUAGGUUCUGGGGACAAAAUUUUGUAUUUAAUUUGGGAGCCAUGUGAAAGGUUCUGUGUACAAGCAUAAAUCAAUGUCUUUUGAUUCCA